AACUAGUUGUACGCUAAUGGCGUAAUGUAUAAUUGGAAUUGAAUUAUUUCUGGAUUUACAAAGAAAAACAGCAAGACUUGCCGCAGCCAAAAGUAUAUCAACCGCUUUUAUAGCUUCGCAAAAGAAAGAAUCAUCAUCCUGGACAAUCAAGAACCAAUGGAUCAGAUUUUCUUUCACCAAAACAUUUUUGUAUGCAUUGAAAAAGAAGUAAAAGUUACUUCUAUGAAAGAAUUACGAAACUUCUUAAUUUCUGUUAUCGUAUUUUGUUGGAGAUAGUUCUUGAUCGAUAAAAAAAGAGGCUAUACGCGAAGCGUGUGACGUACAGUAUGAAGAAAAGAAUUGUGAAGCUGUGACAGAUGAAUGUCCAAAAAAUAAUCUUUUAUAGGACCAAAUCUUUCUGUAAUAAUUGGAGCAUUUAAACCCGCAAAAAUUGUCAGUAUGUUUCCAUCGUAUAUAUUUCCAUUUUAAACUAUGCAUUAACUUUCAAAAACCAGAAAUAGCUACGUUACUUAUUAGGUAUUCCCAGAGGUUUGAAAAAACUUGUUUCCUCAAAAAUGAAGAGUCUACGGUACACAGAACUUAUAUAUUAUAUUAUAUAGAAAUCCUUGGAAUGCGCCACUUCUUAGUCUAUUAAAAGUCUUUACAAUCAAUUACUUACCAUACAUGGCAGUAGUGUAAUAUAAAUUUGAAUGGAAUUAUUUCAGGACUUAGAAAGGUAUCAUAAUCGGAUAUAUGUGUAAUCGUCUUUAAUAUGAAUGGGUUUUUGACAUAAUUGUACUUUGGACGGCUCAUGCUUCCUUAUCGAGUGCCUCUUUGUCAAGAGCUAACAAAGUUUCAUUCCAAUUUAAUCUCGAUAUCGUUCUUUGUUUUAUUUCAAUAAUCGAUUCGUUUACCCUUUCUCUUUCUCUCUCUCUCUCUCUAUAUAUAUAUAGUAUAUAAUACAUAACAGAAAUGAGUAACUAAGGGUUUACAAAAAAAGAUUAUCAUAUACGUAUUCAUAUACGCCUCAAUGCAAUUACGACUUACAUCUUGCAUCGAAAAAUGACAAUAGUCGACUAUAAUUAGUGAAUUUCUUAAUCAGUGGUAUUACAUCUUACGUUGAUACAUUUGUGAAGAGUUUUGUUAUCUACGGCCAGUUGAAAGGCAUUUUAACUAUUAACCGAAGUAUUGAAAUCUUUUAUCAAAAGUCUUAACGUUAACGACAAACGAAUAAAAGAUUGUAUUAGAGUUUAAUUCGAUAUCUUCCAUUGUAUCUUCCAAUAUAAUAAUGUAAAGUUUAUUAACGAGAAGUAGAAUCAUAUAUCUAAUUAAAAAUAAACAACUAAUAGAUUUCGUUCCAUUACAAAGAUAUAUAUACAUACAUUUAUGCGUACACAUUAAAAGUAUUGCUAAUAAAAAAUCAAUAGGAUUAUAGAAAACAUUUCAUUGUAAAUUGAUGCCGAAAAUAACAAAUACCCUUCAAUAAUGUGUAAUUUUUUCUUUUUCUAUCAAGUAUUAAUUUCUUUUUAAUCAAUUUAAACAUUUUUAGUUCAUAAUGUAUCAAUAACAAUAUCAGAUAUUUAAUUUUGGCUCAUUGCAGAACAAAGGUUGCUCGUUACUGUCCAUACAAUAUAAGAAAAUCUCAAGCAAUACCCAAGAGAAAGACUACUGUAUACUUUGUGUAUGUGUGCGUGGGUGUGUAUAUUAUGUAUCUAGUUAUGUACAUAUGUAUCUAUUUACAAACGUAUGUUUAUAUGGGAUCUUCCAACAUUCCACCUUGGUGGUUGCCGAAAGACUGAUCUCAUACGAUAUUCGACAGAAAGUAAAUAACAUAAGGUGGAUUUAGAUAUUUCAGCUUAUAGAGAAACAUAUAAACAUUGUAAUAAGAUUUGCUUUGUAUACGUCAGCUAGUAAAUGGUAUAAACAUUCUCUUUUUCUUUCAGUGUAAUAAUAUUAUAUAUAUAUAUAUCAAAAUUUUUAUAAUUUAAUUAGUUAAUUAAUCAAAAUCAAAAAAUAAAAGAAAGCAACAGGAAUACAAAAAUACGAGACCUCAUCGAAAACUCCGUUUGUUAGGACAGACGUCCUUCCUCGUAAACAAUGAA
Long non-coding RNA from Vespula vulgaris, 2081 nucleotides. RefSeq lists it as uncharacterized. NCBI's taxonomy places the organism in Eukaryota, Metazoa, Arthropoda, Insecta, Hymenoptera, Vespidae. The record is from RefSeq and is a predicted model, not a curated record. The transcript is spliced from 3 exons.